This 255-nucleotide unclassified non-coding RNA is filed under the name plant metagenome. RNAcentral describes it as "partial contains small subunit ribosomal RNA, internal transcribed spacer 1, and 5.8S ribosomal RNA". The stretch from base 1 to 53 matches the Rfam family "Eukaryotic small subunit ribosomal RNA", at positions 1778 to 1831 of the family's 1831-position model. The record is from RNAcentral.
GGAAGUAAAAGUGUAACAAGGUUUCCGUAGGUGAACCUGCGGAAGGAUCAUUACAGUAGUCACCCAGGUUGCCGCAAGGCCUCCUGGGUAACCUACCACCCUUUGUUUAUUACACUUUGUUGCUUUGGCAAGCCUGCCCUCGGGCUGCUGGCUCCGGCCGGCGAGCGCUUGCCAGAGGACCUAAACUCUGUUUGUCUAUACUGUCUGAGUACUAUAUAGUAGUUAAAACUUUCAACAACGGAUCUCUUGGUUCUG